GCCUGGCUGGCUCAGACAAUAGAGCAUGUGACUUUUAAUCUCAGGGUCGUGAGUUUAAGUUUUAUGUUGGGUG
This 73-nucleotide transfer RNA is filed under the name Canis lupus familiaris (dog). It matches the Rfam family "tRNA". From Rfam's summary of the family: Transfer RNA (tRNA) molecules are approximately 80 nucleotides in length. The record is from Rfam by way of RNAcentral. Lineage: Eukaryota; Metazoa; Chordata; Mammalia; Carnivora; Canidae. RNAcentral also lists the same sequence under 1 other name.